This 253-nucleotide ribosomal RNA is filed under the name uncultured bacterium. RNAcentral's name for it is "partial 16S ribosomal RNA". It matches the Rfam family "Bacterial small subunit ribosomal RNA", at positions 524 to 776 of the family's 1533-position model. The record is from RNAcentral.
GACGUAGGGGGCGAGCGUUGUCCGGAAUUAUUGGGCGUAAAGAGCUUGUAGGCGGUUUGUCGCGUCUGCUGUGAAAUUUCGGGGCUCAACCCCGAACUUGCAGUGGGUACGGGCAGACUAGAGUGUGGUAGGGGAGACUGGAAUUCCUGGUGUAGCGGUGAAAUGCGCAGAUAUCAGGAGGAACACCGAUGGCGAAGGCAGGCCUCUGGGCCAUAACUGACGCUGAGAAGCGAAAGCAUGGGGAGCGAACAGG